Molecule: ribosomal RNA, 902 nt
Filed under: uncultured bacterium
Lineage: Bacteria
Description: bacterial SSU rRNA
Rfam family: Bacterial small subunit ribosomal RNA
Source: RNAcentral
AGAGUUUGAUCCUGGCUCAGGACGAACGCUGGCGGCGUGCUUAACACAUGCAAGUCGAACGGUGAUGAUGGGGCUUGCCCUGUCGGAUCAGUGGCGAACGGGUGAGUAACACGUGAGUAACCUGCCCCAGACUCUGGGAUAACUCCGGGAAACCGGAGCUAAUACCGGAUAGGACCCUUGGACGCAUGUUCUGGGGGUGGAAAGAUUUAUUGGUUUGGGAUGGGCUCGCGGCCUAUCAGCUUGUUGGUGAGGUAGUGGCUCACCAAGGCGACGACGGGUAGCCGGCCUGAGAGGGCGACCGGCCACACUGGGACUGAGACACGGCCCAGACUCCUACGGGAGGCAGCAGUGGGGAAUAUUGCACAAUGGGCGCAAGCCUGAUGCAGCGACGCCGCGUGAGGGAUGACGGCCUUCGGGUUGUAAACCUCUUUCAGCAGGGGAGAAGCCUUCGGGUGACGGUACCUGCAGAAGAAGCACCGGCUAACUACGUGCCAGCAGCCGCGGUAAUACGUAGGGUGCGAGCGUUGUCCGGAAUUAUUGGGCGUAAAGAGCUUGUAGGCGGUUUGUCGCGUCUGCUGUGAAAAUCCGGGGCUCAACCCCGGACUUGCAGUGGGUACGGGCAGACUGGAGUGUGGUAGGGGAGACUGGAAUUCCUGGUGUAGCGGUGGAAUGCGCAGAUAUCAGGAGGAACACCGAUGGCGAAGGCAGGUCUCUGGGCCACUACUGACGCUGAGAAGCGAAAGCAUGGGGAGCGAACAGGAUUAGAUACCCUGCUAGUCCAUGCCGUAAACGUUGGGCGCUAGGUGUGGGGCUCAUUCCACGAGUUCCGUGCCGCAGCUAACGCAUUAAGCGCCCCGCCUGGGGAGUACGGCCGCAAGGCUAAAACUCAAAGGAAUUGACGG